Molecule: ribosomal RNA, 760 nt
Filed under: uncultured bacterium
Lineage: Bacteria
Description: bacterial SSU rRNA
Rfam family: Bacterial small subunit ribosomal RNA
Source: RNAcentral
AAGUCGGACUAAUACCGUAUGUUGUCCAUUGACGGCAUCCGAUUUGGACGAAAGGCUUGGCGGUGAGGGAUGGGGAUGCGUCCGAUUAGCCAGACGGCGGGGUAACGGCCCACCGUGGCGACGAUCGGUAGGGGUUCUGAGAGGAAGGUCCCCCACACUGGAACUGAGACACGGUCCAGACUCCUACGGGAGGCAGCAGUGAGGAAUAUUGGUCAAUGGGCGUAAGCCUGAACCAGCCAAGUAGCGUGCAGGACGACGGCCCUAUGGGUUGUAAACUGCUUUUAUGCGGGGAUAAAGUGGCCCACGUGUGGGUUUUUGCAGGUACCGCAUGAAUAAGGACCGGCUAAUUCCGUGCCAGCAGCCGCGGUAAUACGGAAGGUCCGGGCGUUAUCCGGAUUUAUUGGGUUUAAAGGGAGCGUAGGCCGCGCCUUAAGCGUGUUGUGAAAUCCGGGUGCUCAACAUCCGGCUUGCAGCGCGAACUGGGGCGCUUGAGUGCGCAGAAAGUAGGCGGAAUUCGUGGUGUAGCGGUGAAAUGCUUAGAUAUCACGAGGAACUCCGAUUGCGAAGGCAGCCUACUGUAGCGCUACUGACGCUGAUGCUCGAAAGCGUGGGUAUCGAACAGGAUUAGAUACCCUGGUAGUCCACGCGGUAAACGAUGGAUGCUCGUUGUCGGCCCUUUGGGUCGGUGACCAAGCGAAAGCGUUAAGCAUCCCACCUGGGGAGUACGUCGGCAACGGUGAAACUUAAAGGAAUUGACGGG